GCUAGGUGCAGUGGUGCAUGCCUGUAAUCCCAGUGGCUCAGGAAGCUGAGGCAGGAGAAUUGCAAGUUCAAGGUCAGCCUCAACAAUUUAGCUUGGCCCUGAGUAAUGUAAGGAGACCCUGUCUCUA
This 127-nucleotide small RNA is filed under the name Marmota monax (woodchuck). The record is from RNAcentral. Lineage: Eukaryota; Metazoa; Chordata; Mammalia; Rodentia; Sciuridae.